This 72-nucleotide transfer RNA is filed under the name bacterium. RNAcentral's name for it is "tRNA-Arg". It matches the Rfam family "tRNA". Rfam says of the family: Transfer RNA (tRNA) molecules are approximately 80 nucleotides in length. Their secondary structure includes four short double-helical elements and three loops (D, anti-codon, and T loops). RNAcentral also lists the same sequence under 1 other name. The record is from RNAcentral.
GCCCCCGUAGUUCAAUGGAUAGAACUGGCCCGUCCUAAGGGCUCGAUGUGGGUUCGAUUCCUGCCGGGGGCA